UUUUUUUCUUGUUGUUGAUUUCCAGUCGUAUAGUGUUGUGGUCAGAAAAGAUGCUUUUGAUAUGAUAUCAAUUUUCUUAAAGUUACCAAGGCUUGAUUUGUAGCCCAGGAUGUGAUCAAUGUUAGAGAAUGUUUCAUGUGCACUUGAGAAGAAUGUGUAUUCUGUUGCUUUUGGAUGGAAUGUCCUAUAAAUAUCUAUUAAGUCCAUCUGGUAAUGCUUCAUUCAGGGCCUGUGUUUCCUUACUGAUUUUCUGUCUGGAUGAUCUGUCCAUUGCUGUAAGUGGGGUGUUCAGUUCCCCCGCUAUUACUGUGUUAUUGUCAAUUUGUCCUUUUAAGGUUGUUAGCAGUUGCCUUCUAUAUUGUGGUGAUGCUAUUUUUGGUGCAUAGAUAUUUUAAAUUGUUGUAUCUUCUUCUUGGAUUGAUCCUUUGAUCAUUAUGUAGUGUCAUUUCUUGUGUCUCAAAAUACUCUUCAUUUUAAAGUCCAUUUUGUCUGAUAUGAGUAUUGCUACUUCAGCUUUCUUUUGAUUGCUGUUUGUGUGGAAUAUUUUCUUCCAUCCUCUCAAUUUGUAUGUGUCCCUAGAAGUCAAAUGGAUCUCUUGAAGACAGCAUAUAUAUGGAUCUUAUUUUUGUAUGCAUUCAGCCAGUCUAUGUCUUUCAGUUGGGGCGUUUAGUCCAUUAACAUUUAAGGUAAUUAUUGUUAUCUAUGUUCUUAUUGCCUUUUUAGUAAUUGCUUUGGAUUUGUUUUUGUUGCUCUUUUUUCUUCCCUUCUUCUCUUGUUCUCUCUUCUUCUGGUUUGAUGACUAUCUUUAGUGUUGUAUUUGAGUUAAUUUUUCUUAUUUGUUUGUGUAUCAAUUGUAGCUUUUGGGUUUGCUGUUACUCUGAAGUUUUGAUAUAAGAGUCUAUACAUAUACAAAAUUGUUUAAAAUUGUUGGUCUCUUAAUUGCAAGUGCAUCUCCAGUGUCCUGCAUUUGUACCCUCUUCUCAUUUUUAUGGCAUUUUGAUUUCUUAUUUUGGUGGCAUAAUUGUGCAUGGAUGAUUUUGUAUCUUUACUGUAUAUAUUCCUUUACUGGUGAGCUUUGCCAUUUGCGGUAUUUUUGUUUCCUGUUGUGGCCUUUUCUUUUCUGCCUAGAGAAGUUCCUUUAGUAUUUGUUGUAAAGCUGGUUUAGUGUUGCUGAAUUCUCCUAGCUUUUGCUUGUGUGAAGCUUUUGAUUUCUCCUUCAAACCUAAAUGAGAGCCUUGCUUGGUAAAGUAGUCUUGGUUGGAGGUUUUUUCCUUUCAUCACAUUAAGUAUAUCACACCACUCCCUUCUGGCCUGCAGAGUUUCUGCUGAAAAAUCUUCCAAUAAUCUUAUAAGGGUUCCCUUGUAAAUUAUUUGUUUCUUUUUCCUAGCUGCCUUCAAUAUUUUCUCUUUAGUUUUGGUAGUUUGAUUAAUAUGUGUCUCCGGGUGUUCCUUCUUGGGCUUAUUUUAUAUGGUACUCAUUGCACUUCCUGGCUUUGAGUAAGUGGUUCCUUUCCCAUGUUAGGGAAGUUUUCAACUAUUAUCUCUUUGAAUAUUUUUUUCUGUCCCUUUCUCUCUCUCUCUUCCCCUUCUUGCACCCCUAUAAUAUGGAUGUUGGCGCAUUUAACAUUGUCCCAGAGUUCUCUGAGACUCUCAUCAUUUGUUUUCAAUCUUCUUUCUCUUUUCUGUUCCACAUCACUGAUUUCUACUAAUCUGUCCUCCACCUUGCUUAUUUGUUCUUCUGCCUCCUGUAUUCUGCUGUUAGCUGCUUCUAGUGAAUUUUUUAUUUCAGUUAUUGUAUUUUGCAUCUCUUCAUGUUUAAGUUUUAUAACUUGUAUCUCUUUGCUCAGUGUUUCCUGUAAGUUAUCCAUCUUUGCCUCCAGUUUAUUCCCAAUGUCUUGCAUCAUCUUCAGCAUCAACAGCCUAAAGCCUGUUUCCUGGAGGCUGAGACUCUCCUGAUCACUUAGCUGUUUUUCUGGGUUUUUUUCUUUCUUCCUCAUCUGAGUUAUAGUUCUCCGUCUUUUCAUUUUUACAGGUUUUUGGUGUGGUGACCUUUUUACAGAUAAUAGAAUUGUAGCCUCUCUUACUUCUGGUGUCUGCCCCCUUGUGGCUGAAGUUGGCAUGGGGGCUUGCUGUAGGCUUCCUGAUGGGAGGGACUGGUGCCGCCCACUGGUAGAUGGAGCUGAUUCCUAUCCCUCUGUUGGGUGGGGCUUUGUCUCUGGGUGAGAUUAGAGGUGGCUGUAUGCCUGGGGGGUCUUUAGGCAGCCUGUUUACUGAUGCAUGGGGCUGUGAUCCCACCUGGAUUGAUGUUUGGCCUGGGGCUUCUUAGCACUGAAGGGUGGGGCCAGGUUUUCCCAAAGUGGCCACCUCCAGAGAAACACAGGCUGAUGAAUAUUCCCAAGAGCUUUGCUUCCAAUGCCCUUCUCCCACAACAAGCCACAUUCACCCCUGUUUUCCCAGGAUGUCCUCCAAGAACUGCAGUCAGGUCUGGCUCAGAUUCCUAGGGGGACUUUGCUUUGCCCUGGGACCCAGUGCACAUAAAAGUCUGUGUGAACCUUUUAAGAAUGGGGUCUCUGUUUGCCCCAGUCCCAUGGAGCUCCUGCACACAGGGCCCACUGGCCUUCAAUGCCAGAUGCUCCAAAGGUCAGAUUCUCCCAAUGCCAGAUCCCCAUGCAUGGGAACGUGAUGUGGGGCUCAGAACUCUCACUCCUGUAGGUGAGUCUCUGUGAUACAGUUACUUUCCAGUCCGUGGGGCUUCCCACCUGGGAGGUAUUGAGUUGCUUAUAUCAUGUAAUCGCUCCUCCUACCUCUUGAUGUGGCCUCCUUUUUGUCUUCUGGAGUAGGAUAUCUUUUUGAAAGUUUCAAGUUAAUUUGAUUGGAUAUUGCUCAGCAUUGGGUUGUAAUUUUGUUGUAUUUAAGAGAGAAGUUGAGCUCCAGUCCUUCUAUUCCACCAUCUUUAUCUCGUGUCCUUAAUUCAGUUCUUAUUGAAAUACAAGCAAAUAUUUUGUGGAACUUGACACACUGAUCCUGAAACUGAUCUAGCUAUGUAAAGAACUUAAAAUUAAGCACCAUAGUUUUGAAGAAAAACAAUAAGUGAGAGUGCUUUCUUUACUAGAUACCAAGUUUUAUUAUAAUGUUAUAAUAUUAAAAAACAUGUAGCAUUGAAGCAAACUUAGACAAAUAGAUUAAACAGAAUUGAAAGUCCAGAAACUCCUCCCACACAUAUGUGAUGUAUGAUUGAGGCAACAUUAGUCAUCAAUACAGAAAGGGCUUAUUCUUCAAUAAACAACUGAGUAGAAAUAUGAGAAAAAGUUAAAUAAGAUCUCUACCUCAUAGUAAACAAAAAGUAAUUUCCAUAUAUUAAAGAACCAACUGUAAAAGGCAAAGCAUAAAAUGUUUUAGAUGCUGGAUAUCUUUCAUUUGUGCCUUGUAUCAGUCCUUCCUGCAUAACACUUUAUUAAGCUCAUAAUUCUGGAUUAGCCAUUUGGGGUUGACUCAGCUGGACAGUUCUUUUCAUAACUGUGGCUGGGCUCAUCUAUGCAACUGUAGUCAGCUGCCAGUCAGCUAGGUCACUCUGCUUCUGAAUGUUGGUGGCUAAAGGCUGGGGUAAUGAGCCAGAUGUCUCUCAGCCUCCAGUAGGCUACCCAUACUUCACAAAGGUUGGGAUCUCAAAAACACAGAUCAUGGUUAUAUCAAAAACUGUUGGAGAGAAUAGCUCUAUAAGCUCCAGUGUCCACAUCUCUCAAAACUCUGCUUGCAUCAUGUUUGGUUAAUAUCCCAUCAGCCAAAAGAAGUCAUAUGGCCCAAUGAGAUUCAAGAGGUGGGGAAACAGAUUCUACCUCUUGGAGGACAUACAGAAAUGGGAAACAUUUAUGGCCAUUGUUGUAAUUUCUGAUUCUGCUUUCUGUCCCCAGAGGCUAAAUGAUACAGAUUGGAUCAACUGUCUUUCAUGAUCUUUGGUUUCCAUUUGAAUUUAGCAAAUGGGGAACUAGCACAGGGAUAAAAGGAAGGAGGAGAGUGAGAGUGAAGAUUUAUUCUCUGGUGCUGCAGCACAUUGCUGCAGACUGACUGGUCUCUGUAUCCAAAGGCCCGGCUCCAAUCAGGUGGCCUUUCUCCACAGCGCACUGUCUCAGUUCUAUGUAUGUAUAUCUAUUUCUCUCUCGCUCUAUCUAUAUCUUUCUUUCUCCCCCACCCCAGGAUAUAGCAUUAUCCUUUAUGGUUUCCCUUCACUCUCCCCAUACCUUUGUAAAUAAGCUCUCUGUUACAUUUUCCUCAAAUUACUCAAUUUCAAUGGAUUGUGUCUUUCCUGAGGGACUCUAAUUAUAUAGAAGUAAAUAUGUUGGAGUUCCUGUUGUGGCUCAGUAGUAAUGAACCCGACUAGCAUCCAUGAGGAUGGGGGUUCAAUCCCUGGCCUUGCUCAUGCAUUAAGGAUCUGGAGUUGCCAAAAGUUACAGAGUAGGUCAUAGAUGAGGUUUGGAUCCUGCGUUGCUGUGGCUGUGGUGUAGGUUGGCAGCUGCAGUUCCGAUUCAACCCCUAGACCGGGCACUUCCAUAUGCCACAGGUAGGGCCGUAAAUAAAUAAAUAAAUAAAUAAAUAAAUAAAUAAAUAAGCAAGCAAGCAAGCAAGCAAGCAAGAAAGCAUCAUGACUAUCUUUGGUCCUUUGUUUAAUCUAAGUACUUUAAGAAUCAGCUUGUCAAGUUCCACAAAAAUAAGAUCAGGAUUUUGAUUGGAAUUUUAUAGAUCAAUUUGAAGACAAACCUAUUUAGGUUUUGUCCAAUUUCUCUCAUUACAUUUUCGUGGUCACAUUAAAUAGUAUUUUUUUGUAGAAAUCUUACACAUUUUUAGAUUUAUUCCUAUAUACUUGAUAUUUCUUUAUCAUAAAUGAAACCUCUUUUUUUUAUAAUGAUUUUUAUUUUUUCCAUUAUAGCUGGUUUACAUUGUUCUGUCAAUUUUCUUCUGUACAGCAAGGUGACCCAGUCACAUAUACAUGUAUACAUUCUUUUUUCUCACAUUGUCAUUCUCCAUCAUAAGUGACUAGAUACAGUUUCUAGUGCUAUAUAGCAGGAUCUGAUUGCUUAUCCAUUCCAAAGGCAAUAGUUUUCAUCUAUUAACCCCAAAUUCCCAAUCCAUCCCACUCCUUCCCCCUCCCCCUUGGCAAUAAGUCUGUUCUCCAUGUCC
This 5175-nucleotide long non-coding RNA is filed under the name Sus scrofa (pig). Its description in RNAcentral is "lncRNA (ENSSSCG00060040192.1)". Lineage: Eukaryota; Metazoa; Chordata; Mammalia; Artiodactyla; Suidae. The record is from RNAcentral.